UACGUAGGGGGCAAGCGUUGUCCGGAAUUACUGGGCGUAAAGCGCGCGCAGGCGGUCCGACGCAUCGGGGGUGAAAGCCCCCCGCUUAACGGGGGAGGGUCCGUCGAGAUGGUCGGGCUGGAGGCAGGGAGAGGGCGGUGGAAUUCCGGGUGUAGUGGUGAAAUGCGUAGAGAUCCGGAGGAACACCCGUGGCGAAGGCGGCUCUCUGGGACGGUACUGACGCUGAGACGCGAAAGCGUGGGGAGCGAACAGG
Molecule: ribosomal RNA, 253 nt
Filed under: uncultured bacterium
Lineage: Bacteria
Description: partial 16S ribosomal RNA
Rfam family: Bacterial small subunit ribosomal RNA
Source: RNAcentral